AGGUUAUGUUAUUUUUAAUUUUCAGAGGUUAUAAUUUUUUAAAUAUUGUUAUAUUAUGUUUGAAUAAAAUUAAGUAUAACUCGGCUUUAUAAACGAAUAGUAAUGAAUCGUUUAAGAUUCUAUACGUUCUCGCAAGUAAGGCAUUAUUGUAUAGCAAAAGAGUCGACGAAAAACUUGUUAAAUCAGAAGCAGCUCGUUCCAAAGAAUCCUGUCUCUUCCAAAAUUGAUCCUACAAAAUUACCCGAAAAGACUCGAAUUGAUGCGGACACUAUCGCACUUUUAGAACGGUUGUCUUUGGUAGAUUGUGCUAAUAAAGAAGGAAUUGCUACUUUGGAAGCUGCUAUAGAAUUUGCUGAUCAGAUUCAACAAGUCGAUACUACGGGGGUUGAUCCUUUAGUUACAGUUCUAGAAGACGUUCAUCUAAGAUUAAGAGAAGAUAUAGUUGCCCAAGACAGCACAAAGGCUGAUGUUCUGAGGAACGCUGCCCUAACAGAGGAAGAAUAUUUUGUGGCACCUCCAGGAAAUAUUGCACUGGAACCUAGAGAGGAUCUUCUUUACGAAAAAGAUCAGAAAAAUGUUUAAUUCUAUUAUAAAUUUAUCGGAAAAGCAUGGUUUUGUAAAAAAACUAGUUUUUCCCACAUUAAAUUUUUUUCAAUUAAAAAUCGGACCUGUUGGAAACUUAUUGAUGCACAAUCUAAGAAACGAAUGGUAUAACAAUAUUGUUAUUAACAAUGAUAUAAGUAUGUUCCUGGAUGAGGAGUUUGAAUCGACUUUUCAGUUUGGUAGAAAAUUAUGUCUUGAAAAACUACCUUUUGGUAUAUGUCAGAAUAUUGUAAUAAACAAUAAGAGGUCACAGACUGUAGAUGAAUUAAUGGAGACCUAUAAGGAAUCAGAUAAAAUCAAUUUUGAAAAAAUGUUUGAUGAUAACGAUAAAGUAUUAUUAAAAAGCACAGUUUUUGUGUCGAGUAACGAAUCUCAGAGUUUCUUUUAUAAAUGGCAAAGACAUAGAAGAAUGUGGUGGAGAAAGUUUUCUCCAAACCCCGGAAGAUAUUCACUCUCCGACAUAAAAACCAACAGUAAUAACAUCCAAACUGUUGAAAUUGUUGCAAAAUACCCUUGGCAAGACGAAAUAGUAGAAACAUUAACUCUAUAUCCAUCUUGUAAUAAUUUAACCAUCAAAGAUCAACAGUUUAAAGAAGGUAAAAAGACAAUUCAAGCUCAUAACGUUGUUAGUGAAGUUAGUUUAACCAGUUUAUUUCUUAAUACCAUUUGCGAUGCUUACGACCAAUCAGCAUAUAAGGGAAUUUCAAGAACUUUAUUAAGGUUUCACAGGAAAUUAGCUCCAUACAGGAUAAGUUUUGCCAUUUCCACGUCAACAUAUUCUCUUAUACCUGAACUGAGUGACCUGGCUCUAUAUUUGACAAAACAAUUAAGAGCAAAUCAAGUUUCAACGCUUUAUAUACCGAGCAGUUCAAAAUUGUCUCUAGAGGCUCAAUGGAGGCAGUACGAUGAAAUGGGAAUCCCAUACAAUAUUAUUUUGAACGAAAAUACUUUGAAAAAUGGCAUUUGUUUGAUGAGAAGUAGAGACACAACUUUGAAGGAGCAGGUACAUGUGGCAGAUAUAACCAAAUAUGUAGAACAGUUAUUUAAGAGUUAUUGAAUGGUAGUUUAUUUGUAGGAAUAUUUUUAUAAGUAAAAAAUGUUGUUAAUUU
Molecule: RNA transcript, 1712 nt
Organism: Sitophilus oryzae (rice weevil)
Lineage: Eukaryota; Metazoa; Arthropoda; Insecta; Coleoptera; Curculionidae
Gene: DNApol-gamma35
Gene name: DNA polymerase subunit gamma-2, mitochondrial
Exons: 6
Source: RefSeq, a predicted model, not a curated record